Molecule: non-coding RNA, 1680 nt
Organism: Cricetulus griseus (Chinese hamster)
Lineage: Eukaryota; Metazoa; Chordata; Mammalia; Rodentia; Cricetidae
Source: RefSeq, a predicted model, not a curated record
CAAGGUAUGCAAGGUUCCUCUGUCCUCCGUCAGCGUCACUUUGCACAGGGCAAGCCUUUCUUUCCAGACUCAAUUCCACUAGCCCUGUUUCUGUGACACCCUAGUUACCCCAGGCGGUUACCAACUCUCUCCACUUUUUAAUUUACUUGUAUCCAUUCUGAGUGGUGCUUCGUGAGCUCCUUCAAGGGCAAAGAUCUUACCAUGAGUGAGACCUCCUACGCAACAGUUCUCAGCCAGAUCUUUGCCACUGUUUCGUGAUUCUUCCUGCCCCUUCUAAUAAGACUGUGUGUGUUCAUGACACAUGCAUGUUCACAGGCCACUCUAAGAAAUCCAGAAUGUUCAUCUUCUACCUGAGGAACCAGGAUCUGGACUCCUUGCUCUAAUAGGAGCGAUCAUGAUGCUUUCAGAUAAAUUCACACUGAAUUCUUACAAGCUUCUGUCCAGGGGAAAGCUGGCGGUGAGUGCUUGCUCUUUCCUCUUCAAUGAACCUGCUUUUCCAUCUUGGAAGAGGAUGAAAUGCACCUCUCAGAAUGCAAGUUUCCCUGCGGACACUAUCCCCAGUGGUGGAGUGAUGGAGAGAACUGAGAUGAGGUCAGGGAACAACUGAACUAAAAACUCACGAAAUGGAAGAGUAACAAUGUGAAGGAGUGUGCCACCACAUCUCUCUACUAGAGGUUUUCUGCCACCCAGUGAAUCUUUUUUUCACUGAGGAACCAUCAACUUUGACAAGGCACUUCUGAGCACAAGGAACAAGAGAGAGACAUGGUCUGGAAGGUCAAGGUUGGGCUGGAUCCAUGACAAGUUCACUUGACUCAUUCUGAAUUUCAGCAGGAGGGAGGUAUCAAAAUUAAAGAUAAGAUUGGACAACAACAGAAAAUUAAAUAUUGUGGCUGAGAAAAUAAUGGAUAAUCAGGAAAUCUAAGUCCAGCAAAUUCUCACACUUUAACAGAAAGAUUUUCAGUUCCUGAGAAAGAAACAAAUCUGACUACUGGAAAGACCUUCAGGGUGGGAAACUGUGCUGAGAAAGGUCUCAAAAUUUUUCACCAUUGCUCUCUGCUUGGACAUAGCCAGUUAGUGUUGCUCACAUCUCAAUAGACUUGUAAAUGCCAAAAUAACAGCGCCUCACCCGAGGAAUCCUUCUGACUUAGGUGGCUAUCCUGUCUUCAAUGCUGGCUGGACUGGAGAAUUCCCAGAAUGCUCUUGGACAUUGGAGUACUUCCUGCAGAUGGGAGGAGGUGGUCUGCCUGGGAGAAGCAAGUCACCUGGGUCACAUGGCACUUGACCUUCAAGACUAAACGAGAAGGAACGCCUGGUAGGAUGGGUGCUGUUUUUACGAAGUCCAGGAGGUCAAGCAAUGAGCCAUUGGGGUGAAUCACCGAACAGAACACUAAAGGGAGACUUUUGUUCCAAUCAUGAGUUUAGAGGAGAGUCUUAAAAUGGUAAGGACAAGUAAAUAUGGGGCAAGAAGCAUAACCGAGCCAAGAAAUGCUGGAGCAGAUGACAACUGAACAGUAGAAACCAGGCAGAGGCCAGCCCUACAGGGCCAGGGAGGAAAGAAACAGCAGACUGGAGAAAACAAUAAAAAGGGAGAAAAAGAAAUAUGGAGAUGGGGAGGAUGAAAUGGAAAAUAAAAACUCAAGGAAAAGGAUACCAUGUCUCCUUUUCAAAAAAUUUUAUUUU